Molecule: ribosomal RNA, 242 nt
Filed under: uncultured bacterium
Lineage: Bacteria
Description: partial 16S ribosomal RNA
Rfam family: Bacterial small subunit ribosomal RNA
Source: RNAcentral
AGAGUUUGAUCAUAGCUCAGGAUGAACGCUAGCUACAGGCUUAACACAUGCAAGUCGAGGGGCAGCAUGAACUUAGCUUGCUAAGUUUGAUGGCGACCGGCGCACGGGUGAGUAACACGUAUCCAACCUGCCGGAUGACUCGGGGAUAGCCUUUCGAAAGAAAGAUUAAUACCCGAUGGCAUAGUUCUUCCGCAUGGUAGAACUAUUAAAGAAUUUCGGUCAUCGAUGGGGGAUGCGUUCCA